UCUCCGUUGGUGAACCAGCGGAGGGAUCAUUACAGAGUUGCAAAACUCCCAAACCCUUGUGAACAUACCUGUACGUCGUUGCUUCGGCGGGUAGCCCAUUUCAGGGCCCAGCCUCCUUGUGAGGUGCCCGCCGGAGGACCAAACACAAACUCUUGUAAUAAUUGGCCUCUCUGAGUAUUAUACAAAUAAGUUAAAACUUUCAACAACGGAUCUCUUGGUUCUGGCAUCGAUGAAGAACGCAGC
RNAcentral lists this unclassified non-coding RNA (243 nucleotides) under uncultured fungus. RNAcentral's name for it is "sequence contains ITS1, 5.8S rRNA gene". The stretch from base 195 to 243 matches the Rfam family "5.8S ribosomal RNA", at positions 1 to 49 of the family's 154-position model. Lineage: Eukaryota; Fungi. The record is from RNAcentral.